RNAcentral lists this ribosomal RNA (492 nucleotides) under uncultured bacterium. RNAcentral's name for it is "partial 16S ribosomal RNA". It matches the Rfam family "Bacterial small subunit ribosomal RNA", at positions 29 to 507 of the family's 1533-position model. The record is from RNAcentral.
AGUGAACGCUGGCGGUAGGCCUAACACAUGCAAGUCGAACGGCAGCACAGUAAGAGCUUGCUCUUACGGGUGGCGAGUGGCGUACGGGUGAGGAAUACAUCGGAAUCUACUUUUUCGUGGGGGAUAACGUAGGGAAACUUACGCUAAUACCGCAUACGCCCUUCGGUUGAAAGCAGUGGAUCUUCGCACCUUGCGCGAUUGAAUUAGCCGAUGUCGGAUUAGCUAGUUGGCGGGGUAAAGGCCCACCAAGGCGGCGAUCCGUAGCUGGACUGAGAGGAUGAUAGGCGACACUGGAACUGAGACACGGUCCAGACUACUACGGGAGGCAGCAGUGGGGAAUAUUGGACAAUGGGCGCAAGCCUGAUCCAACCAUACCGCGUGGGUGAAGAAGGCCUUCGGGUUGUAAAGCCCUUUUGUUGGGAAAGAAAAGCAGCAGGUUAAUACCCCGCUGUUCUGACGGUACCCAAAGAAUAAGCACCGGCUAACUUCGUG